UGGGGAAUAUUGCACAAUGGGCGCAAGCCUGAUGCAGCCAUGCCGCGUGUGUGAAGAAGGCCUUCGGGUUGUAAAGCACUUUCAGCGAGGAGGAAGGUGGUGAACUUAAUACGUUCAUCAAUUGACGUUACUCGCAGAAGAAGCACCGGCUAACUCCGUGCCAGCAGCCGCGGUAAUACGGAGGGUGCAAGCGUUAAUCGGAAUUACUGGGCGUAAAGCGCACGCAGGCGGUUUGUUAAGUCAGAUGUGAAAUCCCCGGGCUCAACCUGGGAACUGCAUUUGAAACUGGCAAGCUAGAGUCUCGUAGAGGGGGGUAGAAUUCCAGGUGUAGCGGUGAAAUGCGUAGAGAUCUGGAGGAAUACCGGUGGCGAAGGCGGCCCCCUAGACGAAGACUGACGCUCAGGUGCGAAAAGCGUGGGGAGCAAAACAGGAUUAGAUAACCCUGGUAGUCCACGCUGUAAAACGAUGUCGAUUUUGGAGGUUGUGCCCUUGAGGCGUGGCUUCCGGAGCUAACGCGUUAAAUCGACCGCCUGGGGAGUACGGCCGCAAGGUUAAAACUCAAAUGAAUUGACGGGGUCAUAGCUG
RNAcentral lists this ribosomal RNA (585 nucleotides) under uncultured bacterium. Its description in RNAcentral is "partial 16S ribosomal RNA". It matches the Rfam family "Bacterial small subunit ribosomal RNA", at positions 355 to 932 of the family's 1533-position model. The record is from RNAcentral.